GAGUUUGAUCAUGGCUCAGGACGAACGCUGGCGGCGUGCCUAACACAUGCAAGUCGAACGAAGUUAGUUUUUCGGAAUUAGCUUAGUGGCGGACGGGUGAGUAACGCGUGAACAAUCUACCCUGUACAAAGGAAUAGCCUCGGGAAACUGGGAAUAAAACCGUAUGACACUUUUAAGUCGCAUGAUUUGAAAGUCAAAUUGAGUAAGAGGUAUGGGAUGAGUUCGCGUCUGAUUAGCUAGUUGGUGAGGUAAUGGCUCACCAAGGCGACGAUCAGUAGCCGGCCUGAGAGGGUGAACGGCCACACUGGAACUGAGACACGGUCCAGACUCCUACGGGAGGCAGCAGUGGGGAAUAUUGCACAAUGGGCGAAAGCCUGAUGCAGCGACGCCGCGUGAGUGAAGAAGGUUUUCGGAUCGUAAAACUCUGUCCUUGGUGAAGAAAAAAAUGACGGUAGCCAAGGAGGAAGCCCCGGCUAACUACGUGCCAGCAGCCGCGGUAAUACGUAGGGGGCGAGCGUUGUCCGGAUUUACUGGGUGUAAAGGGA
RNAcentral lists this ribosomal RNA (545 nucleotides) under uncultured bacterium. RNAcentral's name for it is "bacterial SSU rRNA". It matches the Rfam family "Bacterial small subunit ribosomal RNA", at positions 9 to 568 of the family's 1533-position model. The record is from RNAcentral.